RNAcentral lists this ribosomal RNA (1620 nucleotides) under Malenchus bryanti. Its description in RNAcentral is "SSU rRNA". It matches the Rfam family "Eukaryotic small subunit ribosomal RNA". Lineage: Eukaryota; Metazoa; Nematoda; Chromadorea; Rhabditida; Tylenchidae. The record is from RNAcentral.
UGGUAAUUUCUUGAGCUAAUACAUGCGCAAGAGCUGCGUCCUCGCGGGCGCAGUGCAUUUAUUAGAGGAAAACCAGGCGGCCUCGGCCGUGUCGUGUUGACUCAGAGUAACUAAGCUGAUCGCAGGGUCUUGUACCGGCGACGUGUCUUUCAAGUAUUUGCCUUAUCAACUUUCGAUGGUAGUGUAUCUGACUACCAUGGUGGUGACGGGUAACGGAGGAUCAGGGUUUGACUCCGGAGAAAGGGCCUGAGAAAUGGCCCCUACGUUUAAGGAUGGCAGCAGGCGCGCAAAUUACCCCCUCUUGGCGCGAGGAGGUAGUGACGAGAAAUAACAAAGGCCUUCUUUAAGAGGCCGCCCAUUGGAAUGGGUACAACCUAAACCCUUUAACGAGUAUCUAUGAGAGGGCAAGUCUGGUGCCAGCAGCCGCGGUAAUUCCAGCUCUCAAAAUGCAUAGAAUUAUUGCUGCGGUUAAAAAGCUCGUAGUUGGAUCUGUGCCCGCGCGCCGGUCCACCCAGCCGGGUGCGCACUGGUUGUGCGGGCUUCGUGCCGGUUCGACCGUGGGGCGCAAGCUUUGCGGAUGGCUGGCGAGUUUACUUUGAACAAAUCAGAGUGCUCAACACAGGCGUCUCGCCUGAAUGUUCGUGCAUGGAAUAAUGGAAGAGGAUCACGGUCCUAUUUUAUUGGUUUUGCGGACUGAGGUAAUGGUUAACAGAGACAAACGGGGGCAUUCGUACCGCUGCGUGAGAGGUGAAAUUCUUGGACCGCAGCGAGACGCACGACAGCGAAAGCAUUUGCCAAGCAUGUCUUCAUUAAUCAAGACCGAAAGUCAAAGGUUCGAAGGCGAUCCAGAUACCGCCCUAGUUCUGACCGUAAACGAUGCCAACUAGCGAUCCGUCCGGCGGAUUUCUCGCCCUGGUGGGGAGCUUCCCGGAAACGAAAGUCUUCCGGUUCCGGGGGAAGUAUGGUUGCAAAGCUGAAACUUAAAGGAAUUGACGGAAGGGCACCACCAGGAGUGGAGCCUGCGGCUUUAAUUUGACUCAACACGGGGAAACUCACCCGGGCCGGACACCGCGAGGAUUGACAGAUCGAGAGCUCUUUCUUGAUUCGGUGGAUGGUGGUGCAUGGCCGUUCUUAGUUCGUGGAGCGAUCAGUCUGGUUUAUUCCGAUAACGAGCGAGACUCUAGCCUGCUAAAUAGUGGAGGCAUUGCCUCGUGCCCACCACUUCUUAUAGGGAUUGGCGGCUCCCAGCCGCACGAAACUGAGCAAUAACAGGUCUGUGAUGCCCUUAGAUGUCCGGGGCUGCACGCGCGCUACACUGGCGAAGGCAGCGUGCCUGUCCUGCCGCGAAGGCGGUGGGUAAACCAUUGAAAAUUCGCCGUGAUUGGGAUCGGAGAUUGCAAUUAUUCUCCGUGAACGAGGAAUUCCAAGUAAGUGCGAGUCAUCAGCUCGCGUUGAUUACGUCCCUGCCCUUUGUACACACCGCCCGUCGCUGCCCCGGGACUGAGCCAUUUCGAGAAAUUUGGGGAUCGAUUGACGGGCCGCCCGCAAGGGCACUCCCCGCUGCCAACCAACUUAAUCUCAGUGGGUUGAAACCGGGCAAAAGUCGUAACAAGGUAGCAA